Mustela erminea (ermine) is the source of this 435-nucleotide non-coding RNA. The record is from the annotation of a RefSeq genome assembly. Lineage: Eukaryota; Metazoa; Chordata; Mammalia; Carnivora; Mustelidae.
UAUCAAAAGUCUGGCCCCACCAAAGGACUUGGGGAGCAGAAUUGGGUCACCUCCACCAUGGCCUGGACACCUCUCCUCCUUGGCCUCCUUGCUCACUGCACAGGUUCUAUGGCCUCCUAUGUGCUGACUCAGCCCCCAUCUGUGUCAGUGGCCCUGGGGCAGACGGCCCAGGUCACAUGUACGGGAAACAACAUUGGAAGUAAACAUGUUUACUGGUACCAGCAGCAGCCAGGCCAGACCCCUGUGCUGAUCAUCUAUAACAGCAACAAACGGCCCUCAGGGACUCCUGAGCGAUUUUCAGGCACCGGCUCUGGGAACACGGCCACCCUGACCAUCAGUGGGGCCCAGGCUGAGGACGAGGCUGACUAUUACUGUCACGUGUUGGAUAGCACUUCUGUGCUUUUCGGCAGCAAAGAAAGGCACCAUGUGCGGUAG